RNAcentral lists this unclassified non-coding RNA (375 nucleotides) under soil metagenome. RNAcentral describes it as "partial contains 5.8S ribosomal RNA, internal transcribed spacer 2, and large subunit ribosomal RNA". The stretch from base 1 to 120 matches the Rfam family "5.8S ribosomal RNA", at positions 35 to 154 of the family's 154-position model. The record is from RNAcentral.
GAUGAAGAACGUAGCGAAAUGCGAUAAGUAAUGUGAAUUGCAGAAUUCAGUGAACCAUCGAAUCUUUGAACGCACAUUGCGCCCGGCAGUAAUCUGCCGGGCAUGCCUGUCCGAGCGUCAUUUCUCCCCUCGAGCGCAGCUUUCCCCCCCGGGGGAGGGCCGCGCCCGGUGUUGGGGCGCUACGGAGGAGCCCAGCGCUCCCCCGUAGGCCCCGAAAUGUAGUGGCGGUCCCGCCGCGGCGCCCCCUGCGUAGUAGUUUUACAACUCGCAUCGGGUCCCGGCGGAGGCCAGCCGUCAAACCCCCCAACUUCAAUAGUUUGACCUCGGAUCAGGUAGGGUUACCCGCUGAACUUAAGCAUAUCAAUAAGCGGAAGA